Molecule: ribosomal RNA, 769 nt
Filed under: uncultured organism
Description: bacterial SSU rRNA
Rfam family: Bacterial small subunit ribosomal RNA
Source: RNAcentral
GGAUGAACGCUGGCGGUAUGCUUAACACAUGCAAGUCGAACGGAUUCUUAGGAAUCAGUGGCGGACGGGUGAGUAACACGUGAAAACCUGCCUCUAGGACGGGGAUAACAGAGGGAAACUUCUGCUAAUUCCCGAUGAGCCCACGGGUAAAAGGAUUUAUCGCCUAGAGAGGGGUUCGCGUCCGAUUAGCUAGUUGGUGGGGUAAAGGCUCACCAAGGCUGCGAUCGGUAGCUGUUCUGAGAGGAAGAACAGNCACACUGGGACUGAGACACGGCCCAGACUCCUACGGGAGGUAGCAGUGGGGAAUUUUCCGCAAUGGGCGAAAGCCUGACGGAGCAAUACCGCGUGAGGGAAGAAGGUCCUUGGAUCGUAAACCUCUUUUCUCAGGGAAGAAGUUCUGACGGUACCUGAGGAAUAAGCCUCGGCUAACUCCGUGCCAGCAGCCGCGGUAAUACGGAGGAGGCAAGCGUUAUCCGGAAUUAUUGGGCGUAAAGCGUUCGCAGGUGGCUGUUCAAGUCUGCUGUCAAAGACCGGAGCUUAACUCCGGAAAGGCGGUGGAAACUGAAGAGCUAGAGUGCGGUAGGGGUAGAGGGAAUUCCCAGUGUAGCGGUGAAAUGCGUAGAGAUUGGGAAGAACACCGAUGGCGAAAGCGCUCUACUAGGCCGCAACUGACACUCAGGGACGAAAGCUAGGGGAGCGAAUGGGAUUAGAUACCCCAGUAGUCCUAGCUGUAAACGAUGGGUACUAGGCGUAGCUUGUAUCGACCCGA